RNAcentral lists this non-coding RNA (29 nucleotides) under Homo sapiens (human). Lineage: Eukaryota; Metazoa; Chordata; Mammalia; Primates; Hominidae. The record is from RNAcentral.
UAGGAGCAUCUUCAGCUUCAGUCCAGGGG